GAGUUUGAUCCUGGCUCAGGACGAACGCUGGCGGCGUGCUUAACACAUGCAAGUCGAACGGAAAGGCCCCGCUCGCGGGGUACUCGAGUGGCGAACGGGUGAGUAACACGUGGGUGAUCUGCCCUGCACUUCGGGAUAAGCCUGGGAAACUGGGUCUAAUACCGGAUAUGACCUCCCUUUAGUGUGGGGGGUGGAAAGAUUUAUCGGUGCAGGAUGAGCCCGCGGCCUAUCAGCUUGUUGGUGGGGUAAUGGCCUACCAAGGCGUCGACGGGUAGCCGGCCUGAGAGGGUGGACGGCCACAUUGGGACUGAGAUACGGCCCAGACUCCUACGGGAGGCAGCAGUGGGGAAUAUUGCACAAUGGGCGGAAGCCUGAUGCAGCGACGCCGCGUGGGGGAUGACGGCCUUCGGGUUGUAAACCUCUUUCGACAGGGACGAAGUGAAAAUGACGGUACCUGUAUAAGAAGCACCGGCUAACUACGUGCCAGCAGCCGCGGUAAUACGUAGGGUGCGAGCGUUGUCCGGAAUUACUGGGCGUAAAGAGCUCGUAGGUGGUUUGUCACGUCGUCUGUGAAAUUCCGGGGCUUAACCUCGGGCGUGCAGGCGAUACGGGCAAUACUUGAGUGCUGUAGGGGAGACUGGAAUUCUUGUGUAGCGGUGAAAUGCGCAGAUAUCAGGAGGAACACCAAUGGCGAAGGCAGGUCUCUGGGCAGUUACUGACGCUGAGGAGCGAAAGCAUGGGUAGCGAACAGGAUUAGAUACCCUGGUAGUCCAUGCCGUAAACGGUGGGCGCUAGGUGUAGGGGACUUCCACGUUCUCUGUGCCGUAGCUAACGCAUUAAGCGCCCCGCCUGGGGAGUACGGCCGCAAGGCUAAAACUCAAAGGAAUUGACGGGGGCCCGCACAAGCGGCGGAGCAUGUGGAUUAAUUUGAUGCAACGCGAAGAACCUUACCUGGGCUUGACAUACACCGGACCGGCGUAGAGAUACGUCUUCCCUUGUGGCCGGUGUACAGGUGGUGCAUAGUUGUCGUCAGCUCGUGUCGUGAGAUGUUGGGUUAAGUCCCGCAACGAGCGCAACCCUUGUCUUAUGUUGCCAGCACGUGAUGGUGGGGACUCAUGAGAGACUGCCGGGGUCAACUCGGAGGAAGGUGGGGAUGACGUCAAAUCAUCAUGCCCCUUAUGUCCAGGGCUUCACACAUGCUACAAUGGUCGGUACAGCAGGUCGCGAACUCGUGAGAGUAAGCCAAUCCUUCAAAGCCGGCCUCAGUUCGGAUUGGGGUCUGCAACUCGACCCCAUGAAGUCGGAGUCGCUAGUAAUCGCAGAUCAGCAACGCUGCGGUGAAUACGUUCCCGGGCCUUGUACACACCGCCCGUC
RNAcentral lists this ribosomal RNA (1374 nucleotides) under uncultured bacterium. RNAcentral's name for it is "bacterial SSU rRNA". It matches the Rfam family "Bacterial small subunit ribosomal RNA". The record is from RNAcentral.